AUGGAUGCCAAUUCUGUCGGCACUGAUGUAUCUGCUGAUCAUGUCAUUGCCGAGUUGCUCGAGAUGGGGUUCGAGUUCGACAAGAUCAGCGAAGCCAUUGGUGUUGUCGGUCCGUGCCGUGCUGACGUGGUGGAGUUUGUGCUGAAUGGUUCUGGUAGUGUACAAAGAAAGCCAGGCGGGGGGUCUCAAAGACGCUCUUCUGACAGGAGUGCUAGACUGGCUAAUCCCAGGGGGAAAUUUAAGCAGUCUAGCAUUACUUAUCAUAUCGCGUCAACCACUGGCAGUAAAACCGAGUCUUGUGGCGAGGAGCCAAGUACCUCAUAUUCUUGUUUAGCGGCCAACAUGAACCCUGCAUUGACUGCUGCUAUCUGUUUAAAACCAAAGCCUGAACAUCAGACUUUGCUUGAUGAUUCAAGAGGCGAGUUUGACUGGGCUGACAAAAUUAGUGCUGUUUUGCAAAAGCAUUUCGGAUUCUCCUGUGUGAAGGGUUUCCAAAAGGAAGCCUUGGAUGCUUGGUUUGCUCACAAGGAUUGUCUUGUUCUAGCAGCAACUGGAUCAGGGAAGUCACUUUGCUUUCAGAUUCCAGCUCUUUUGACUACGAAGGUUGUGGUGGUGAUCUCACCCUUGAUUAGUUUGAUGCACGACCAGUGCCUAAAACUUGCAAAACAUGGGAUAUCAGCAUGCUUCCUUGGAUCAGGGCAACCAGAUAAUCGUGUUGAGGGCAAAGCCAUGGCUGGCAUGUAUAAGAUUAUUUAUGUUUGCCCCGAGACAGUUUUAAGACUGAUGGAACCAUUGAAGAAACUUGCCGAAAAACCAGGGAUUGCACUUUUUGCCAUUGACGAGGUUCAUUGUGUUUCUAAAUGGGGUCACGAUUUCCGACCCGACUAUAGGAAACUAUCUGUGCUUCGACAAAAUUUCUGUUCCAGCAAAUUGAAGUUCUUGGAACAUGAUAUUCCUUUGAUGGCAUUGACUGCUACUGCAACUCUCCCGGUACGAGAAGACAUUCUCAAGUCCUUGAAAAUGUCAGGACAUACAGUGGUUGUCUUGACGUCCUUUUUCCGACAAAACCUUCGAUUUAAUGUAAAGCACAGUAAAACCUCUGCCUCAUCAUAUGGAAAGGACUUUCAAGAACUAAUAGGGACUUACAAUGCUUCAAGGAAUUUCAGGGGGAAAAGCCAGAAAAUUCUUCAUGAAGUUGAGCCUGAGUCUGAAAGCAGCUCAUACGAGUCACUAGAUGAUAGUGCAUCAGAUGACGAAGAUGCAAUUUCUGAUAAAACUAAACUUGCCAAGUCUUUCGUAAAAGAAAAUGCUGAACAUGAGCUGGAUCAGUAUCCUGGAGUAGAUGAUUUUGAUGUUUCAUGUGGAGAGUUCCUUGAAAGCUCGCGACCUGAGAGCUUUGCAUUUCCUGUUCAAUCUGCUGAAACUAGUUCAUCAGAAAGUUUGGAUCAAGGUCCUACAAUUGUUUAUGUACCCACGAGGAAAGGAACUGUGGAACUAGCUAACUAUCUGUGCAAAUCAGGCCUCAAAGCUGCAGCGUAUAAUGCAAAGAUGCCUAGAUCACAUUUGAGGCAGGUGCACGAGCAGUUCCAUAGCAAUGCCUUAGAGGUUGUUGUGGCUACUAUAGCAUUUGGCAUGGGAAUCGACAAAUCAAAUGUCAGAAGAAUUAUUCACUACGGUUUACCGCAGAGUUUGGAAGCGUAUUAUCAAGAAGCUGGUCGUGCUGGUAGAGAUGGAAAGUUGUCAGAUUGCACUUUAUAUUGUAAUUUUAUGAGAACACCGACACUGCUUCCUAACAAAAGAAGCGACGAACAGACAAGGGCAGCAUAUAGAAUGCUACGGGAUUGCUUUCACUAUGCUUUGAACACUUCAACAUGUAGAGCCAAAAUACUAGUAAAGUACUUUGGUGAGGAAUUUGGUCCUGACGGAUGCAAAAUGUGUGACGUCUGUAUUAAUGGCCCUCCUGAAAUGCAUGAUUUCAAGGAAGAAGCAGUUGUGUUCAUGAAUGUGCUCCAAGCUCAAGCUGGACAGGCAACUGAAGGCAUGGACUACAACAGUACAGACUGUUAUACAUCUGGAAGGCGAAAUAUUGGGGCGGUGCCUGAUUUCAGAAUGGCAGUCAGUUAUAUAAGAGAGAAGAUUCCUAGGUUUGCCAUGACAGACAAGAUAUGGUGGCAAGGGCUUGCUCGUAUUUUAGAGGACGUGGGAUACAUACAGGAAGCAGCUGAAAUUCCUCGUGUUCUAAUCCAGCAUCCAGAGCUGACAAGAGCCGGGUUAAAUUUUCUGAGUUCACAACCAGACGAGGAAGGCUUAUACGCAUACCCUGAUGCUGCUACGUUACUGGCGAUUAGUAACCCAAAGUCCUUCUCUUCUUCCUCGGAGUGGGGCAGGGGUUGGGCAGAUCCUGAGAUACGCCGCCAGCGUCUUGCGGGGAAAACAGGAAGAAGGAAAAGGAAGAGGGGUUCUCGGAAGCAGCCUGCAGGUUUCACCACUGCUAAAGAGAGACUAUCAGCAAUACUCUCGAAGUCGAAACGCAGAAAGUGA
This 2541-nucleotide ribosomal RNA is filed under the name Triticum aestivum (bread wheat). Its description in RNAcentral is "partial small subunit ribosomal RNA". Lineage: Eukaryota; Viridiplantae; Streptophyta; Magnoliopsida; Poales; Poaceae. The record is from RNAcentral.